RNAcentral lists this ribosomal RNA (820 nucleotides) under Microascus aculeatus. RNAcentral's name for it is "Microascus sp. BDS-2019a partial large subunit ribosomal RNA". It matches the Rfam family "Eukaryotic large subunit ribosomal RNA", at positions 74 to 920 of the family's 3401-position model. Lineage: Eukaryota; Fungi; Ascomycota; Sordariomycetes; Microascales; Microascaceae. The record is from RNAcentral.
AUUGCCCCAGUAACGGCGAGUGAAGCGGCAACAGCUCAAAUUUGAAAUCUGGCCCCCUGCGGGGUCCGAGUUGUAAUUUGAAGAGGAUGCUUCUGGCGAGGCGCCGUCCGAGUUCCCUGGAACGGGACGCCGGAGAGGGUGAGAGCCCCGUACGGUCGGACGCCGAGCCUCUGUGUAGCUCCUUCGACGAGUCGAGUAGUUUGGGAAUGCUGCUCAAAAUGGGAGGUAAACCCCUUCUAAAGCUAAAUACCGGCCAGAGACCGAUAGCGCACAAGUAGAGUGAUCGAAAGAUGAAAAGCACUUUGAAAAGAGAGUUAAAAAGCACGUGAAAUUGUUGAAAGGGAAGCGCUUGCGACCAGACUCGCGCCCGUCGGAUCAGCCGUCGCUCGUCGGCGGCGCACUCCGGCGGGUUCGGGCCAGCAUCGGUUCGCCUCGGGGGGAGAAAGGCGGCGGGAAUGUGGCUCUUCGGAGUGUUAUAGCCCACCGCGUAAUACCCCCGGGCGGACCGAGGACCGCGCGUUACGCAAGGAUGCUGGCGUAAUGGUCGUCAGCGACCCGUCUUGAAACACGGACCAAGGAGUCGUCCUAAUAUGCGAGUGUUCGGGUGUCAAACCCCUGCGCGUAAUGAAAGUGAACGGAGGUGAGAGCUUCGGCGCAUCAUCGACCGAUCCUGAUGUUCUCGGAUGGAUUUGAGUAAGAGCAUAUUGGGCCGGACCCGAAAGAAGGUGAACUAUGCCUGUAUAGGGUAAAGCCAGAGGAAACUCUGGUGGAGGCUCGCAGCGGUUCUGACGUGCAAAUCGAUCGUCAAAUAUGGGCAUGG